AUGCUUACCAAUGAGAGAAACUUCUCUGUGAAAUCUUCAUAUCUUUUCCUUAUUAAAACUGAUGUGGGUUUCCCACACAAGUUUCUAUGGAAAAUUAAAAUUCUAGCCAAGAUUAAAAUGUUCUUUUGGUUGACUGUGCAUAAAAGCAUUCUAACUAAAGACAACUUAAUCAUAAAAGGGUGGAAAGGGAAGAAAGAAUGUGUCUAUUGUGGACAUGAUGAAACUAUUGAUCAUUUGUUUUUUAGUUGUUCUGCCGCCAGACUUAUAUGA
Molecule: ribosomal RNA, 270 nt
Filed under: Triticum aestivum (bread wheat)
Lineage: Eukaryota; Viridiplantae; Streptophyta; Magnoliopsida; Poales; Poaceae
Description: partial small subunit ribosomal RNA
Source: RNAcentral